RNAcentral lists this ribosomal RNA (468 nucleotides) under uncultured bacterium. Its description in RNAcentral is "bacterial SSU rRNA". It matches the Rfam family "Bacterial small subunit ribosomal RNA", at positions 338 to 796 of the family's 1533-position model. The record is from RNAcentral.
CCUACGGGAGGCAGCAGUGGGGAAUAUUGCGCAAUGGGGGAAACCCUGACGCAGCGACGCCGCGUGGAUGAUGAAGGCCCUUGGGUUGUAAAAUCCUGUUCUGGGGGAAGAAAGCUUAAAGGUCCAAUAAACCCUUAAGCCUGACGGUACCCCAAGAGAAAGCUCCGGCUAAUUAUGUGCCAGCAGCCGCGGUAAUACAUAAGGAGCAAGCGUUAUCCGGAAUUAUUGGGCGUAAAGAGCUCGUAGGCGGUCUUAAAAGUCAGUUGUGAAAUUAUCAGACUCAACCUGAUAAGGUCAUCUGAAACUUUAUGACUUGAGGUUAGAAGAGGAAAGUGGAAUUCCCGGUGUAGCGGUGAAAUGCGUAGAUAUCGGGAGGAACGCCGGUAGCGAAGGCGAUUUCCUGGCUUGCAUCUGACGCUGAGGCACUAAAGCUAGGGUAGCGAUCGGGAUUAGAUACCCCAGUAGUCC